CCUACGGGAGGCAGCAGUGGGGGAUAUUGCACAAUGGGGGGAACCCUGAUGCAGCGACGCCGCGUGGGUGAAGAAGCGCCUCGGCGCGUAAAGCUCUGUCAGCAGGGAAGAAAAUGACGGUACCUGAAGAAGAAGCCCCGGCUAACGACGUGCCAGCAGCCGCGGUAAUACGUAGGGGGCAAGCGUUAUCCUGAUUUGCUGGGUGUAAAGGGGGCGCAGACGGGGAUGCAAGCCAGGAGGGAAAGCCCGGGGUCCAACCCCGGGACUGCUCUUGGAACUGCGUGGCUGGAGUGCAGGAGGGGCAGGCGGAAAUCCUGGGGUAGCGGUGGAAUGCGGAGAUAUCAGGAGGAACACCGGUGGCGGAGGCGGCCUGCUGGGCUGCAACUGACGUUGAGGGCCGGAAGCGUGGGGGGCAAACAGGAUUAGAUACCCCUGGUAGUC
Molecule: ribosomal RNA, 441 nt
Filed under: uncultured bacterium
Lineage: Bacteria
Description: partial 16S ribosomal RNA
Rfam family: Bacterial small subunit ribosomal RNA
Source: RNAcentral